RNAcentral lists this ribosomal RNA (466 nucleotides) under uncultured Turicibacter sp. Its description in RNAcentral is "bacterial SSU rRNA". It matches the Rfam family "Bacterial small subunit ribosomal RNA", at positions 63 to 507 of the family's 1533-position model. The record is from RNAcentral. Lineage: Bacteria; Bacillati; Bacillota; Erysipelotrichia; Erysipelotrichales; Turicibacteraceae.
CGAAGUCGAGCGAACCACUUACCGUGGGAAGGACGGGCGAACGGGUACGGAGGUUAACACGUAACGGUUAGGAUACGUACCCAACGUCAGACGGGACGAACGUUGGAAACGGAUACGCUAAUACCGGACUAAGGUACGAAAGUUUAAACGGAAUGCUCCCUGGCAUCACUGAUGGAUGAGCCUGCGGCGCAUUAGCUAGUUGUGGGGUAAAGGCCUACCAAGGCGACGACUGCGUAGCCGACCUGAGAGGGUGAACGGCCACACUGGGACUGAGACACGGCCCAGACUCCUACGGGAGGCAGCAGUAGGGAAUCUUCGGCAAUGGGCGAAAGCCUGACCGAGCAACGCCGCGUGAAUGAAGAAGGCCUUCGGGUUGUAAAAUUCUGUUAUAAGGGAAGAAAGGUGAUAGGAAGGAAAUGACUAUCAAUUGACGGUACCUUAUGAGAAAGCCACGGCUAACUACGUG